AAUUAUUAAUUUAUUUUUUUUAUUUUAAAAAAAGUAUUUUUUAUAUAAGUAUGAUUAUAGAAUUUAAUUUUUGAAUUAUAGUGAAUUAGUAUAGUGAUAGAAUAUUGAAAUAUUAAGAAAUUUAAUUGUUUAAAAGAAGAAUUUAUUUUUUGUACCUUGUGUCUCAGGGUUUAUUAAAAAUUUUAUUUUCUAUAAGGUUUUCUCGAAUUAUUAAGGGCUAUUUAUAUAUUUAUUUAAUUGUUGAAUUAAUUUUUAUAAUAUAUAAUUAGUAAUGAAACGUUAUUCGUUUAUUAAGAUAUCUAGUUUUUUAAGAAAUAAAUUUAAUUUAGUUAAUUUGAUGUUUUUUACUUAUUUUGUAGGUUGAAAUUUAAAUUGAGUAAUAUUUUAAGGGAUAAGCUUUAAAAUAAAUGGUUUAUAAUUUUGUUUUUGUUAUAAAAUAUGUAGGGUUGAAAAUUUUUAUCUUUAGUUUGUUAUAAUUAGUUUUAUGUUUGUAUAAUAUUUAUAUUUUAUUUAGAUUGUUUAUUAAAAUUAUUUGUUUAUUAAUUUAAUAUAUGAAAUAAUGAUAAAAUUAGUAUAAUUUUUUGUAAUUUUAAAUUAAGCUUGAAAGGUUAAGUUAAGGAAUUCGGCAAAUAUAUUUUUCGCCUGUUUAUUAAAAACAUGUCUUUUUGAUUAUAAUUUAAAGUCUAGCCUGCCCAAUGAGGAGUUGAAUGGCCGCGGUAUUUUGACCGUGCAAAGGUAGCAUAAUCAUUAGUUUUUUAAUUAGAAGCUGGUAUGAAUGGUUGGACGAGAAGAUAGCUGUCUCAAUUUAAAUUUAAUUAAAAUUUUAUUUUUAAGUAAAAAAGCUUAAAUGAUUUUAAAAGACGAGAAGACCCUAUAGAGUUUUAUAUUGUUAUUGAUUUUCUAGUUUUAGUAUUAAUGUUUGGAUAAUUUUUAAUUGUAUUUUAUUGGGGCGAUAGAAAAAUUUAAUAAACUUUUUUUAUUUUUAAUCAUUAAUUAGUGAGUAUAUGAUCCGUUUAUUACGAUUAUAAGAUUAAAUUACCUUAGGGAUAACAGCGUAAUUUUUUUUGAGAGUUCUAAUCGAAAGAAAAGUUUGCGACCUCGAUGUUGGAUUAAAAUUUAUUUUUGGU
RNAcentral lists this ribosomal RNA (1127 nucleotides) under Dasylepida ishigakiensis (white grub beetle). RNAcentral's name for it is "partial 16S rRNA". The record is from RNAcentral. Lineage: Eukaryota; Metazoa; Arthropoda; Insecta; Coleoptera; Scarabaeidae.